AGAUACCCCAGAUUUUUAUACACCAAGGAUUCGCUACAUUUAUCAAUCCAGCCUGCAUGUCACAGAUGCGUAGGUCACUGCCCCACACCCCUGCUUAGGGGAGCGUCUUGGGGUGGUGGUGAGGAGCCCAAGACCCCUGGGUCUGAACUGCUGUGUCGAUGCCAGCAGACAGCACAGCCGGCUCCUCCGCGUCCCAGCGUCCUGCCGUAUGACGCACUGGACUACUUCCCAAGAGUGCCCCAAGGGAAACAUGACAUGGACACACAGGAAAUCCCAAACAUUUCAGGUCCAGGUGCCAUGUGGGAAAUGAUUGAUGCUCCAGGGACAGGAGAAGGAUGCGAACUGGGCGACUUCCAAGUUGCAGACAUGCGGAGCUCAUGGGACACCUACUUCUUCUGAGAGGCGAUGCACACCGAGAGUCGAAUUCUAUUUUUGUUUGUUUGUUGCUUCAUGCAUCCAAAGUAGUAUUAUAAGCAGUUUUCAGAUAAACAUAAUUAAUCUUUGACCCUAUCAAAAUAACUACCCA
RNAcentral lists this long non-coding RNA (526 nucleotides) under Fukomys damarensis (Damara mole-rat). Its description in RNAcentral is "lncRNA (ENSFDAG00000027157.1)". Lineage: Eukaryota; Metazoa; Chordata; Mammalia; Rodentia; Bathyergidae. The record is from RNAcentral.